RNAcentral lists this RNase P RNA (349 nucleotides) under bovine gut metagenome. RNAcentral's name for it is "Bacterial RNase P class A". It matches the Rfam family "Bacterial RNase P class A". From Rfam's summary of the family: Ribonuclease P (RNase P) is a ubiquitous endoribonuclease, found in archaea, bacteria and eukarya as well as chloroplasts and mitochondria. Its best characterised activity is the generation of mature 5'-ends of tRNAs by cleaving the 5'-leader elements of precursor-tRNAs. The record is from RNAcentral.
AGUCGGAUGAAUGAUCGCGGCCGGAGAUCGUAAGGAUCUUCCGGGUGAGGAAAGUCCGGGCUUCACAGGGCAGGAUGCCUGAUAACGUCAGGUGGAGGCGACUCUAAGGAAAGUGCAGCAGAAAAUAUACCGCCCUUUUUAAGGGUAAGGGUGAAAUGGCAGUGUAAGAGACUACCGCGUUUCCGGUAACGGAAAUGGCAGUGUAAACCCCAUCCGAAGCAAGACCAAACAGGAACGAGAGGCGGCCCGUCUCGUUUUUAAGUUCCGGGUAGGUCGCUUGAGCUGUCCGGCGACGGGCAGUCUAGACAGAUGAUCAUUCACGACAUAACCCGGCUUACAGUCCGGCUCA